GACGAACGCUGGCGGCGUGCUUAACACAUGCAAGUCGUACGGUAAGGCCCUUUCGGGGGUCCACGAGUGGCGAACGGGUGAGUAACACGUGAGUAACCUGCCCACAACUUUGGGAUAACGCUAGGAAACUGGUGCUAAUACUGGAUAUGUGCUCCUGCUGCAUGGUGGGGGUUGGAAAGCUCCGGCGGUUGUGGAUGGACUCGCGGCCUAUCAGCUUGUUGGUGGGGUAGUGGCCUACCAAGGCGGCGACGGGUAGCCGGCCUGAGAGGGUGACCGGCCACAGUGGGACUGAGAUACGGCCCAGACUCCUACGGGAGGCAGCAGUGGGGAAUAUUGCACAAUGGGCGCAAGCCGGAUGCAGCAACGCCGCGUGCGGGAUGACGGCCUUCGGGUUGUAAACCGCUUUCAGCAGGGACGAAGCUUUUUGUGACGGUACCUGCAGAAGAAGCACCGGCUAACUACGUG
RNAcentral lists this ribosomal RNA (465 nucleotides) under uncultured bacterium. Its description in RNAcentral is "partial 16S ribosomal RNA". It matches the Rfam family "Bacterial small subunit ribosomal RNA", at positions 28 to 507 of the family's 1533-position model. The record is from RNAcentral.